UACGUAGGUGGCAAGCGUUGUCCGGAAUUAUUGGGCGUAAAGGGAGCGCAGGUGGGAAAGUAAGUCGAUUUUAAAAGUGCGGGGCUCAACCCCGUGAGGGAAUCGAAACUGCUUUUCUUGAGUGCAGGAGAGGAAAGUGGAAUUCCUAGUGUAGCGGUGAAAUGCGUAGAUAUUAGGAGGAACACCAGUGGCGAAGGCGACUUUCUGGACUGUAACUGACACUGAGGCUCGAAAGCCAGGGGAGCGAACGGG
Molecule: ribosomal RNA, 252 nt
Filed under: uncultured bacterium
Lineage: Bacteria
Description: partial 16S ribosomal RNA
Rfam family: Bacterial small subunit ribosomal RNA
Source: RNAcentral